UAAUGCAUCGUGCUGUGGAGGGAAUGUUUACGUUCGACGAGCGAUGACAGCUGAGUAAUUCAACAAAAUGUCUGGUUUGAACCAUAUCAACAAGGACUCUUCUUAUAAAAUGUGGCUUUUCAUACGUCUUGAGGAUUACUCCAAAGCUAAGAAUCAUGCAUACACUCCUUGGUGACUGUGGUAGUGAAAACUGAAAGAUUAGUGACACCUUCUUUUCCUUCGUCGUGCACACAUGAUGGAGUGUACUACUGUACUACUACUGCUGCCAGUGAAUGCUGUAUCGGCAGGAAGGACGACGAUGGUUUGGUGGCAUUGGUAACUUCAUCAUGUCCUCACAUAAUGACAUGCUUUGACAAGUAGCUGGAUAGAUGUAGAUGUCUAUAGUAUGAUCCUCUCCAUGAUGGAACAAAGUGUGCUGUUGUUCCUGGUCAAGGUCAAUCAAGCGUCAUGCUACAGUGGGAACAUCUUCAUUACAUCUUAAACAUGGUCAGACAUCCAAUUCUUAUAUGGGCGGUGAUGUUUGAUUCCAACGUUGACAUCUGCAUUUGAUUCCUACAUGGGGCAGCUACGUUUGGAAUUCUACAGAUAGCAACAUCUGAUUCCUACAUAGACAGCAACAUCUGACUCCUAAAUGGACAGCAACGUUUGGAUUCCACAUGGACAGCAACGGCUGAUUCCUAUGGACAGAGCGACGUUUGGAUUCUUACAUGGACAGCAACGGCUGAUUCGUAUGGACAGUGACAUUUGGAUUCGUACAUGGACAGCUUCUUAAGGAUUCUUAAAUGGACAGCAACAUCUGGUUCCGAAAUGGACAGCAACGUCGCUGAUUCCCACAUUGACAAUGUUUAACACAGAUCUGUGUGUGCAAACUGUGUAGUAAAGAGAAUCUUAGUUAAAAAACAACAACAACAAUUUCAGACUUAAUAUUAUGGUUCAAUUUAAGGCACUGGACACAGUUUUGUCAAA
Molecule: long non-coding RNA, 966 nt
Organism: Asterias rubens (European starfish)
Lineage: Eukaryota; Metazoa; Echinodermata; Asteroidea; Forcipulatida; Asteriidae
Exons: 3
Source: RefSeq, a predicted model, not a curated record